AAUGAACGCUGGCGGCAGGCCUAACACAUGCAAGUCGAGCGAGCGGCGGACGGGUGAGUAAUGCCUGGGAAACUGCCUGAUGGAGGGGGAUAACUACUGGAAACGGUAGCUAAUACCGCAUACCAUCAGAUGUGCCCAGAUGGGGUUAGCUAGUGGGUGGGGUAACGGCUCACCUAGGCGACGAGCCCAAGCUGGUCUGAGAGGAUGAGCAGCCAACCUGGAACUGGGACACGGUCCAGACGCCUACGGGAGGCAGCAGUGGGGAAUAUUGCACAAUGGGCGCAAGCCUGAUGCAGCCAUGCCGCGUGUGUGAAGAAGGCUUUCGGGUUGUAAAGCACUUUCAGCGGGGAGGCGGUACCCGCAGAAAAAGCACCGGCUAACUCCGUGCCAGCAGCCGCGGUAAUUC
This 406-nucleotide ribosomal RNA is filed under the name uncultured bacterium. RNAcentral describes it as "partial 16S ribosomal RNA". It matches the Rfam family "Bacterial small subunit ribosomal RNA", at positions 29 to 526 of the family's 1533-position model. The record is from RNAcentral.